This 29-nucleotide non-coding RNA is filed under the name Paenibacillus macerans. Lineage: Bacteria; Bacillati; Bacillota; Bacilli; Caryophanales; Paenibacillaceae. The record is from RNAcentral.
CUUUAUAUCCCACUACAUUCAAAUAAAAC